GGGUUGUGAGGUUAAGCGACUAAGCGUACACGGUGGAUGCCCUGGCAGUCAGAGGCGAUGAAGGACGUGCUAAUCUGCGAUAAGCGUCGGUAAGGUGAUAUGAACCGUUAUAACCGGCGAUUUCCGAAUGGGGAAACCCAGUGUGUUUCGACACACUAUCAUUAACUGAAUCCAUAGGUUAAUGAGGCGAACCGGGGGAACUGAAACAUCUAAGUACCCCGAGGAAAAGAAAUCAACCGAGAUUCCCCCAGUAGCGGCGAGCGAACGGGGAGCAGCCCAGAGCCUGAAUCAGUGUGUGUGUUAGUGGAAGCGUCUGGAAAGGCGCGCGAUACAGGGUGACAGCCCCGUACACAAAAAUGCACAUGCUGUGAGCUCGAUGAGUAGGGCGGGACACGUGGUAUCCUGUCUGAAUAUGGGGGGACCAUCCUCCAAGGCUAAAUACUCCUGACUGACCGAUAGUGAACCAGUACCGUGAGGGAAAGGCGAAAAGAACCCCGGCGAGGGGAGUGAAAAAGAACCUGAAACCGUGUACGUACAAGCAGUGGGAGCACGCUUCGGCGUGUGACUGCGUACCUUUUGUAUAAUGGGUCAGCGACUUAUAUUCUGUAGCAAGGUUAACCGAAUAGGGGAGCCGAAGGGAAACCGAGUCUUAACUGGGCGUUAAGUUGCAGGGUAUAGACCCGAAACCCGGUGAUCUAGCCAUGGGCAGGUUGAAGGUUGGGUAACACUAACUGGAGGACCGAACCGACUAAUGUUGAAAAAUUAGCGGAUGACUUGUGGCUGGGGGUGAAAGGCCAAUCAAACCGGGAGAUAGCUGGUUCUCCCCGAAAGCUAUUUAGGUAGCGCCUCGUGAAUUCAUCUCCGGGGGUAGAGCACUGUUUCGGCAAGGGGGUCAUCCCGACUUACCAACCCGAUGCAAACUGCGAAUACCGGAGAAUGUUAUCACGGGAGACACACGGCGGGUGCUAACGUCCGUCGUGAAGAGGGAAACAACCCAGACCGCCAGCUAAGGUCCCAAAGUCAUGGUUAAGUGGGAAACGAUGUGGGAAGGCCCAGACAGCCAGGAUGUUGGCUUAGAAGCAGCCAUCAUUUAAAGAAAGCGUAAUAGCUCACUGGUCGAGUCGGCCUGCGCGGAAGAUGUAACGGGGCUAAACCAUGCACCGAAGCUGCGGCAGCGACGCUUAUGCGUUGUUGGGUAGGGGAGCGUUCUGUAAGCCUGUGAAGGUGUGCUGUGAGGCAUGCUGGAGGUAUCAGAAGUGCGAAUGCUGACAUAAGUAACGAUAAAGCGGGUGAAAAGCCCGCUCGCCGGAAGACCAAGGGUUCCUGUCCAACGUUAAUCGGGGCAGGGUGAGUCGACCCCUAAGGCGAGGCCGAAAGGCGUAGUCGAUGGGAAACAGGUUAAUAUUCCUGUACUUGGUGUUACUGCGAAGGGGGGACGGAGAAGGCUAUGUUGGCCGGGCGACGGUUGUCCCGGUUUAAGCGUGUAGGCUGGUUUUCCAGGCAAAUCCGGAAAAUCAAGGCUGAGGCGUGAUGACGAGGCACUACGGUGCUGAAGCAACAAAUGCCCUGCUUCCAGGAAAAGCCUCUAAGCAUCAGGUAACAUCAAAUCGUACCCCAAACCGACACAGGUGGUCAGGUAGAGAAUACCAAGGCGCUUGAGAGAACUCGGGUGAAGGAACUAGGCAAAAUGGUGCCGUAACUUCGGGAGAAGGCACGCUGAUAUGUAGGUGAAGUCCCUCGCGGAUGGAGCUGAAAUCAGUCGAAGAUACCAGCUGGCUGCAACUGUUUAUUAAAAACACAGCACUGUGCAAACACGAAAGUGGACGUAUACGGUGUGACGCCUGCCCGGUGCCGGAAGGUUAAUUGAUGGGGUCAGCGCAAGCGAAGCUCUUGAUCGAAGCCCCGGUAAACGGCGGCCGUAACUAUAACGGUCCUAAGGUAGCGAAAUUCCUUGUCGGGUAAGUUCCGACCUGCACGAAUGGCGUAAUGAUGGCCAGGCUGUCUCCACCCGAGACUCAGUGAAAUUGAACUCGCUGUGAAGAUGCAGUGUACCCGCGGCAAGACGGAAAGACCCCGUGAACCUUUACUAUAGCUUGACACUGAACAUUGAGCCUUGAUGUGUAGGAUAGGUGGGAGGCUUUGAAGUGUGGACGCCAGUCUGCAUGGAGCCGACCUUGAAAUACCACCCUUUAAUGUUUGAUGUUCUAACGUUGACCCGUAAUCCGGGUUGCGGACAGUGUCUGGUGGGUAGUUUGACUGGGGCGGUCUCCUCCUAAAGAGUAACGGAGGAGCACGAAGGUUGGCUAAUCCUGGUCGGACAUCAGGAGGUUAGUGCAAUGGCAUAAGCCAGCUUGACUGCGAGCGUGACGGCGCGAGCAGGUGCGAAAGCAGGUCAUAGUGAUCCGGUGGUUCUGAAUGGAAGGGCCAUCGCUCAACGGAUAAAAGGUACUCCGGGGAUAACAGGCUGAUACCGCCCAAGAGUUCAUAUCGACGGCGGUGUUUGGCACCUCGAUGUCGGCUCAUCACAUCCUGGGGCUGAAGUAGGUCCCAAGGGUAUGGCUGUUCGCCAUUUAAAGUGGUACGCGAGCUGGGUUUAGAACGUCGUGAGACAGUUCGGUCCCUAUCUGCCGUGGGCGCUGGAGAACUGAGGGGGGCUGCUCCUAGUACGAGAGGACCGGAGUGGACGCAUCACUGGUGUUCGGGUUGUCAUGCCAAUGGCACUGCCCGGUAGCUAAAUGCGGAAGAGAUAAGUGCUGAAAGCAUCUAAGCACGAAACUUGCCCCGAGAUGAGUUCUCCCUGACUCCUUGAGAGUCCUGAAGGAACGUUGAAGACGACGACGUUGAUAGGCCGGGUGUGUAAGCGCAGCGAUGCGUUGAGCUAACCGGUACUAAUGAACCGUGAGGCUUAACCUUACAACGCCGAAG
RNAcentral lists this ribosomal RNA (2925 nucleotides) under Escherichia coli. RNAcentral's name for it is "23S ribosomal RNA". It matches the Rfam family "Bacterial large subunit ribosomal RNA". The record is from RNAcentral. Lineage: Bacteria; Pseudomonadati; Pseudomonadota; Gammaproteobacteria; Enterobacterales; Enterobacteriaceae.